This 253-nucleotide ribosomal RNA is filed under the name uncultured bacterium. Its description in RNAcentral is "partial 16S ribosomal RNA". It matches the Rfam family "Bacterial small subunit ribosomal RNA", at positions 524 to 776 of the family's 1533-position model. The record is from RNAcentral.
UACGUAGGGUGCAAGCGUUAAUCGGAAUUACUGGGCGUAAAGCGUGCGCAGGCGGUGAUGUAAGACAGAUGUGAAAUCCCCGGGCUCAACCUGGGAACUGCAUUUGUGACUGCAUCGCUGGAGUACGGCAGAGGGGGAUGGAAUUCCGCGUGUAGCAGUGAAAUGCGUAGAUAUGCGGAGGAACACCGAUGGCGAAGGCAAUCCCCUGGGCCUGUACUGACGCUCAUGCACGAAAGCGUGGGGAGCAGACAGG